GCAAGUGUUAUCCGUAUUUACUUGGUGUAAAGGGAGAGUAGGCGGGAUGGCAAGUCAGAUGUGAAAACUAUGGGCUCGACUCAUAGCUUGCAUUUGAAACUGUUGUUCUUGAGUGUCGGAGAGGUAGAUCGAAUUCCCUGUGUCGCGGUGAAAUGCGUAGCUAUUGGGAAGAACACCCGUCGCGGAGGCGGUCUACUGGACGAUUUAUGACGUGGAGACACGAAAGUGUGGGAGCAACCAGAAUUGAUACCCUGGUAGUCCACACUGUAAAGAUGGAUGCUAGGGGUUAGGGGCGAUUACGCUUCUGUGCCGCAGUAAACACAAUAAGCAUUCCACCUGGGGAGUACGGCCGCAAGGUUGAAACUCAAAGGAAUUGACGGGAGCCCGCACAAGCAGUGGAGUAUGUGGUUUAAUUCGACGCAACGCGAAGAACCUUACCGAAGCUUGACAUCCCGGGAAGGCUGCUGUAAUGGCGGCUGUGCCCCUUCGGGGGAAUCCGGUGACAGGUGGUGCAUGGUUGUCGUCAGCUCGUGUCGUGAGAUGUUGGGUUAAGUCCCGCAACGAGCGCAACCCUUACGGUUAAUUACUACGCAAGAGUACCUUAACCGGACUGCCGUUGACAAAACGGAGGAAGGUGGGGACGACGUCAAAUCAUCAUGCCCCUUACGCUUCGGGCUACACACGUACUACAAUGGUGAGAACAAAGGGAAGCCAAGGCGCGAGCCGGAGCAAAUCCCAUAAAAAUCAUCCCAGUUCGGACUGCAGGCUGCAACUCGCCUGCACGAAGUUGGAAUUGCUAGUAAUCGCGGAUCAGCAUGCCGCGGUGAAUACAAUCCCGGGCUUUGCACUCACCGCCCGUCAA
Molecule: ribosomal RNA, 862 nt
Filed under: uncultured bacterium
Lineage: Bacteria
Description: bacterial SSU rRNA
Rfam family: Bacterial small subunit ribosomal RNA
Source: RNAcentral